GGGGGGGGCGGGGACAGACUCCCCAGCCACACUGGACAACCAGGAGAGAGAGGCACUGCUUGAGGUCCAAACGCUGUACCUGGACGAGGAGGAAGCGCUGCAGUGGACCUCUGGUGAUUACGAGGGACUUCCACCGAGCAUUCUGGGAGUCAGAGUUCCGUCCUGUGGCUCAGAGGCUGAGGGACAGGAUCCAGACUCAAACUGUCUGCCAUCUACACAGUCUCCCUCCCUAAAGUGUGAUGUCCUUGCCUUUCUUCUUGCUGUGCCCUGCAUCCAGUGUGUCUGUACUCAACACACUUUACCUUCUGGUUCUACCACGCUCUCUAAUUCCAUUAGUAAGGUCCUGACCAGGCACAACUCUGGGACUUAGUUAUAGGCUGCUUGGGUUGAGUGUUUUCCAAGUCAGGAAACCUUCUUGGCCCUAGCUAUGGCAUAUUUUGAGCCUCUGACCUGUAUGACAAACUGUUUUUGUUGUACCAUAUUAUAACUGGUAAUGUAAUAUUAUUAUCAUAAGCUACUCUUACAUCGCAAUAAUUGUAAACUGCUUCUGUGGUGAUAAAAAGUUCAGACAUUGUUAAUCUGUGAACUGCUGUAAGUAAUAAACCACAACACAAAGUGUGGUAAACGUUCUCCUUCUCAAAGCCUUUAUUGUUACAGAUAUGGACCAGGCCAGGCAGUACUGCUGCAAAGUUAGCAAAGAACAGCGCUUUUUAAAUCACAUCAAAUAAGUACAAAAACAGCACUUCUGUCAAGAUAAAGUAAACCUAUCCUGCAAUAAUAACGCCUUACAGUGACCACAACCCAAUAGCAUUUCAUCAGCCAUAGUUAAUGACACACAUGGUUCUCUACAUGAUACACACCUGUCCGUCUGGGUUGAUAAAGUUAGUUAGUUGGGUAAUUGUGGAGGUAUUAAGUGCAUCUAUUGUUUAUAAUAGUCUCAUCCUGUUCAGAUUGUCGUAGGGAAAUGAGGCAGUUCAGUAUCAGUAGAGAUAUGGACCAAGUCACCCUCUGUUUGCCCUUAAUAGAAAAGUCCCUGAACAUCCAGAGAAUUCAGUCUACAGCCAGUCAUCCACAAGGAUGCCAGGGAGUUUCCGCAGGGAGAACGGAACAGGACAGGAAGGUGAGCAGAGUAGAGGUCAAAGGUGAUCCUAGAAGGAAUUUUCCCUCAUCUCACUGCACAUUAGACAGGUCCAAGUGUUCUAGCACAACAGGUGUGGGAGUAACGUUCAACCUUGGACUCGUCAACACAAGCAAACAUUGAACCACAGAGUUCAGUGUAGUAUAAAAUGGGAGGACUGACUCCCCACUGGACAAAAACAAGUUGAAUCAACAUUUUGACAUGAUUUCAACAACAAAAAAUGAAAUGGGUUGACGUUGAAUGGACGAGGAAAAAAGCAAUCAAAACAAGACAAUUUAGUAUUUCUUCACCUAAAUCCAAUGAGAUGGUGACUUUUCUUCAUGUUAGUCGACAAGUCAACCAAAUCUAAAUCAAAACUAGACAUUGAACCAGUGGGCCCACACUCAACACAUGUGGUUGUACAAAACAUUUAUUGAUGUGUGGGACUCAUUUGCAUUAACUGUGCAAAAUGCAUCUGUAAUAGCCAAAUGUUUCCUACAUCAUUACUGAAGACAUAUUGUAAAUUGUCAUUGAUGGAGAUCAGAAGUGUAUUGUUCAGGUUGGAGAUAAUACAUGCAUGUGUGCUGUGACUACAACUCGGUGGGCUUGUUUCAUGAAUGAUUCAAUGUAUAGAUUAUUUAUAUGUAAUAAUGAUAUGAUUAUGUUGAUGCAGCAGCAACAGUUCUAUGGAGAAAACAGAAAAAUACAAUGAUUCAAUAACAUAUUCCAUUUUUUUUUUAUAUAAAAAGUUUCAGUAUCUGACAGUCAGAAGUUUGAUAAAACCUCUACACUUCCUCUCACAACCACCCCCAAAUAAUGUACCAUUCCAUAAUCAUCCUCAUCUUCCUCCUCCUCUUAACGUGAAACAAUCAUU
This is a non-coding RNA of Oncorhynchus mykiss (rainbow trout), 1991 nucleotides long. The record is from RefSeq and is a predicted model, not a curated record. NCBI's taxonomy places the organism in Eukaryota, Metazoa, Chordata, Actinopteri, Salmoniformes, Salmonidae.